CCUAUCAGAGGGGGAUAGCCCGGCGAAAGUCGGAUUAAUACCCCAUAAAACAGGGGUCCCGCAUGGGAAUAUUUGUUAAAGAUUCAUCGCUGAUAGAUAGGCAUGCGUUCCAUUAGGCAGUUGGCGGGGUAACGGCCCACCAAACCGACGAUGGAUAGGGGUUCUGAGAGGAAGGUCCCCCACAUUGGUACUGAGACACGGACCAAACUCCUACGGGAGGCAGCAGUGAGGAAUAUUGGUCAAUGGCCGAGAGGCUGAACCAGCCAAGUCGCGUGAAGGAAGAAGGAUCUAUGGUUUGUAAACUUCUUUUAUAGGGGAAUAAAGUGGAGGACGUGUCCUUUUUUGUAUGUACCCUAUGAAUAAGCAUCGGCUAACUCCGUGCCAGCAGCCGCGGUAAUACGGAGGAUGCGAGCGUUAUCCGGAUUUAUUGGGUUUAAAGGGUGCGUAGGUGGUGAUUUAAGUCAGCGGUGAAAGUUUGUGGCUCAACCAUAAAAUUGCCGUUGAAACUGGGUUACUUGAGUGUGUUUGAGGUAGGCGGAAUGCGUGGUGUAGCGGUGAAAUGCAUAGAUAUCACGCAGAACUCCGAUUGCGAAGGCAGCUUACUAAACCAUAACUGACACUGAAGCACGAAAGCGUGGGGAUCAAACAGGAUUAGAUACCCUGGUAGUCCACGCAGUAAACAAUGAUUACUAGGAGUUUGCGAUACAAUGUAAGCUCUA
Molecule: ribosomal RNA, 719 nt
Filed under: uncultured bacterium
Lineage: Bacteria
Description: bacterial SSU rRNA
Rfam family: Bacterial small subunit ribosomal RNA
Source: RNAcentral